Long non-coding RNA from Rhea pennata, 541 nucleotides. RefSeq lists it as uncharacterized. The transcript has 4 exons. NCBI's taxonomy places the organism in Eukaryota, Metazoa, Chordata, Aves, Rheiformes, Rheidae. The record is from RefSeq and is a predicted model, not a curated record.
GCAGGAAUCGUAUGGAGCACAACUCAGCAGCGCAGUGUUAUCGCCCCUCAAAGGAAAGAGAUGCACAGCUUUGAGAAAGCGUGCGUUGCAAAGUUUUCCUGGUUGGCAAAACAUCGAGUGUGAAAUUAUGAGCUCCUCCACCUAAAGGCAGAAGAACAGCUUGUUCGAGGCAGCUCCGCUAAACACCGAUUUCAACGCCGCAUCCAAGCCGAAGUUACAACCGGUAACAAGCAGGAGUUACAAAGCGGCUAAGCGAGGUCGACGAAGAGCAGAGUCUGGUUUCUCGGUGUCCUCGCUCAGGGCGGAAACGCAACGUUCACGACGAACUAUUCUCUCCUUAGGUUUGGCCUCUUGAACAUGGAUGACCAGAAGCAUACACAAUAAUCCAGUCAGCACCCUGUGGAAAUCCGGUGUUUUGGCUGGAGAACGGAGCGGCUGUGGAGCUCGAACUGUUGAAGUUUCCGGAGACCAGAUAAACCGCGCUGCCGAGGCGCAAACAGGGAGGGCACAACCCCACCGAGGCGGCUCUGAGGCGGCGCGG